UACGUAGGGUGCAAGCGUUGUCCGGAAUUAUUGGGCGUAAAGAGCUCGUAGGCGGUCUGUCGCGUCGGCUGUGAAAACUCGGGGCUCAACUCCGAGCUUGCAGUCGAUACGGGCAGGCUAGAGUUCGGCAGGGGAGACUGGAAUUCCUGGUGUAGCGGUGAAAUGCGCAGAUAUCAGGAGGAACACCGGUGGCGAAGGCGGGUCUCUGGGCCGAUACUGACGCUGAGGAGCGAAAGCGUGGGGAGCGGACAGG
This 253-nucleotide ribosomal RNA is filed under the name uncultured bacterium. RNAcentral describes it as "partial 16S ribosomal RNA". It matches the Rfam family "Bacterial small subunit ribosomal RNA", at positions 524 to 776 of the family's 1533-position model. The record is from RNAcentral.